This 550-nucleotide ribosomal RNA is filed under the name Goniomonas pacifica. RNAcentral's name for it is "partial Bacterial large subunit ribosomal RNA". It matches the Rfam family "Bacterial large subunit ribosomal RNA", at positions 1963 to 2511 of the family's 2925-position model. Lineage: Eukaryota; Cryptophyceae; Goniomonadida; Goniomonadaceae. The record is from RNAcentral.
AAUUCCUUGUCGGGUAAGUUCCGACCUGCACGAAUGGCGUAACGACUUCCCCACUGUCUCCAGCAUAGACUCAGCGAAAUUGAAUUCUCCGUGAAGAUGCGGAGUUCCCGCGGUCAGACGGAAAGACCCCGUGCACCUUUACUACAGCUUCAGAGUGGCAUUAGGGAUAACAUGUGUAGGAUAGGUGGGAGGCUUUGAAGCCCGCACGCCAGUGCGAGUGGAGCCAUCCUUGAAAUACCACCCUUGUUGUCUCUGAUGUCUAACCACGUCCCGUGAAACCGGGACUGGGACCCUCUGUGGUGGGUAGUUUGACUGGGGCGGUCGCCUCCCAAAAGGUAACGGAGGCGCCCAAAGGUUCCCUCAGCCUGGUUGGCAAUCAGGUGUUGAGUGUAAGUGCACAAGGGAGCUUGACUGUGAGAGGGACACCUCGAGCAGGGACGAAAGUCGGGACUAGUGAUCCGGCGGCUCGUUGUGGAACGGCCGUCGCUCAACGGAUAAAAGGUACCUCGGGGAUAACAGGCUGAUCUUGCCCAAGAGUCCAUAUCGACGG